AAGAAAAUGACACAUAGGAGUUAAAAGAACAGAAAUAAAUAAAAUUACUUGCUAUCCGCAAGUGAAUAAGCAACAUUAUAUGACGAAACACUGUCAUAGUGAUCAAAAGACUUCAUAAAUAUUCAAAAUAAAUAUUUUACUUGUUUGGAGGAAGAAACAAAAGCAAGCAUUUCAGAGUAAGUAGGAAGGGCUACAAAGCCAUUGUCAUCAAAAUUAAAUUCUAACGUAAAAAAAAAGACUUCAUAAAUAUUCAAAAUAAAUAUUUUACUUGUUUGGAGGAAGAAACAAAAGCAAGCAUUUCAGAGUAAGUAGGAAGGGCUACAAAGCCAUUGUCAUCAAAAUUAAAUUCUAACGUAAAAAUAGUAACUAAAUUUGUCUCAAAAAUAAAACAGGAAGGAUAAAAUCUCAUAAACAAAAAAACAGUACUAAUAACGUCCAAUGCCCCGGACUCUAACAACACCAUCGGUAUAUCCACUAAACAAAGUGCUUCCAUCAGCACUCCAGUUCAAACUAGUGCAGUAAAUGUCCUGCAAAGAAAACGCCAGAAGUAGAGCAAAUAUAUAACUGAAUUGGAAAAACAACAAACCGAAUGCAGAUGCUUGUGUAAAACAAGCCAGAAAUAAAUAGAUUAAAUUUGAGACAUUGUUGAUUAAUACAUACAACAACUAAACAAAGAUUAUUUCAUCAAAUUGCAGCAAGAGAUAAACAACAUAAAUAAAACUCAGGUUAACAAAACCAGUAAAAGAUAAAUGCAAAACCAGUCAUCAAAUAGCUGCAAAAGAUAACACACAUAACCAGUAAAUGAACUUAAAUCAUCAGCAUUAAACCGACACAACAAAACUUCUAGCAUAUCAUAUAAGCUUGAAAAAUAUGGAAAAAAUAAUGGCAGGCAGGAAACAACCAACACUAAAUAAAAAUCAUCUAAACAACUUAAUCAUCUGCGCCAGAUGACUAGCGUUCAGGGAAUUACGAAUAAAACCAAUUAAGAAACAAUCAACUUCAAUUCAAUACCAGGCAAAUAACCAAACAUUCAAACCAUUUCAAGAGUCAUAAACAGAAAGCCCAUAGUCAAAGUAAACAAAAUAAGAAAAAUUCCCUGACAUAUGAUGCAUUUCGCGUGACACAAAAGUUAAAACCAUUUUGUCCAUGGAAGAAAGACAUAUUCAACAUAAAGUAGUCACAAAUUUAAAGAACGACACGACUCCAAAAGAAUAUUCGUUAACAUUAAACAAAUAAGUACGCCCUGCACAGUUAGGAUAAAUCUCUUUACAGAACAAUUCACAUAGUAUCAUCCAUUUAUCAGAUGUUGAAUAAGCUCAGAAAAUCAGGUAAAUAAAAAAAAUUCAAAAAGCAAGAACUAACAAAAUUUAAAUCAACUAGUGUGAUUAAUAACUGUAAUAUAAAAUUUAAAAAAUAUACCUCUUCUUUGGUAGUGUUACCACCGGUGACGGUGUAGCCAUCAGCUCAUGACUUUAAGUCAACUUCAAAUCCUCAACAUGCCUUGCUCUCAAAUGCCGCAGAUCUUUAAUGCUGACUUCGAGUGCAGCACAUAGCCUGAUACCUGUUAGUACUAAAAGCACAAGGCAUGGAUAAUAGAACCCCAUCUUAAGAGAGUAAAGUUCUUCUCCUAGCCAAAAAUCCCACAAAAGAAUAACACCAUCUUUGCAACCACUGGCACAGAGGGAACCAUCAGAGGGAACAUCAAGCAAUCAGGUGUUGAUCAUAUCCAGAGUGUCCAGCUAAGAGUGUUCUCACGCUACCAGAUCUUGCAGUUUGUCAGAUUUCCAAACCUUCAACAGUUUUAUCGCUCAUGAGCAGAGACAAUAGUACGGCUUGUUAGAGUGCUUAGGGCCUCGAACGCACUACAGCCUAACCAAUCAGAAUUGAGCUAUCACCGUCGGCCAUAGCCUGUACUUGCGCACCUCACCGAGAGUGUUCAACAGCUUAAUCGGUGCACGAUAAAACUAGUUUAAGGUAUGCCCAUUAGGUUCUAUAAGCGCUGUCCCGGUUGUUCCAAUAGACAUCUAGUAUGAUCCUGUCGAGAUCUUCCUUGGACCACCCUUCUCAUUACUUGUGUCAACGCAUCUCUAUCCGAUUUAGAAUAAGUUCAGUACAGAUAUAAAGUAUCCCUAUACUAUCUAACAGCAAACAGAUUAACAUUACAUAAUUCUCUAAGUUUCUCAUCUAUUUUCUCUAUCAACUAAUACAAGCUCUUAGUUUCUAUUUCAAAAAUGAAGAAGCAUUUGGUACCUGCUCUGUAAUUGUUUUUGAGAAGCGCACCCCUCCUCCAAAUACACCCACAUGGCCUUCAGGGACUGUGAACAAUGACAAGGAAUUUUAUAAGGAUGAUGAUUGCUGUGGGAACCAAAACCUAUAGAUAACAUAAGACAUGUCUUAAGCUUUAAGUUGUCAAUAAACACUAACACAAACCGAUGUACAACUGAAAGUAACCAGUGUGUCAAUGUCCGCCGACACAUGUCAGAUACAAUAGAAAUAUUCAAUCAGAAAUGUCGGGCUACAUAGUUAGAUGUUGACAACAAUCAAUUCAAUGAAACAUAACCUCAUUAAGCAUUAUCAAUCAAAUCAAUCAAACAAGAACGAAUAUCAAACAACAACAAAUUAAGACAAAGAUUCCAUUGCCUAUGCAUUAUCAUCAAAAUCAAAGCAAGCAAAACAAUUUCAAAACAACAACUAAUGUCAUCUAAACACGCAAGUGUUACACAAGAGUGCCCUAAAAAUACAUCAACAUUGACACAUAAUUAUUAUCACACUAAUUUUUUAUGUGCGAUUGUUUUCAAUGCUGUUAAAUAUAGUUUUUCUAUAUGAAAAUUCAAACAAUGGAUAUUUCACGGCGAUAUAGAUAACAAAAAACAAAAACAGGAAUCGAAUGUUUAACUUUUCAGUAAUACAUUUGGGAAAGAGAUACAGUGAGAUAGAGAGUAUUACGAUAGCGCAAUGGCUAUGAAGGAGAGCAAGAUGAAGGUAACGGAAGGUGGAGUUGAAUCGGUGUGGCGAGCUCGUGUUGGAACGCUGCGAAUCCAUGGCGGUGCAACUUUCUUGGCUGUUUGAUUCUGAGUUUGGGUUUGGUAUAUUUUGCUUUAUUGGUCAUCAUGCGGUUCUUCUAAAACACGUUCAAUGAUUGAAACCGAAAAAUUGGAAGUGUAUUCGGUUCGCUGUUAUGGUUUUCGCUGAUAGGGUUCAACGUUCGCAGGAGGAAAACAAAAGAACAGAGAACGAAAAUUGAAAUGGAGUCUGAAAUUUUAUUUUAAUUAGACCUUAGACAGCGCUUUGUGGAAAGCGGCUUUCUAAGUAUGCCUUUUAGACAGCGCUUUCCAAAAGCGCUUUCUAACCCCCCCUUAGACAGCGCUUUGGUUUUAAUUUUUUUUUAAUUUAAAGACUUUAGACAGCGCUUUAUCAAAAGCGCUGACUAAGGUCUAUAUUUAAAAGCGCUGUCUAAGGGGGGGUCUUAGACAGCGCUUUUAGAAAGCGCUGUCUAAGACCCCCCUUUAGACAACGCUUUCAUUAUUUUUUUGGAACAUUUUCCGUGUUUUAUUUUAAUUUUAACCUUAGACAACGCUUUCUUUUAAAAGCGUUGUCUAAGAUGCGCUGUUAAAAGUCAUUUUUGGCGUAGUGUUCCCAUUUUCUCGAACAAGGUAUAGGGCAUUAGAUUGACUGCAACACCCCGUCGACAAACACCUUAUUCACCGCCAUUCCAUCAACCUUAACUCUGAUGAACAAUGGUUUUAGGUGGUACAUCAUCCCAGGACUAGGCCUUUCAAACAUAGCUUUAUGUUCUUCCACCACGCUGUUAUUCAUGACAUAGUAGCAUAAAGGUUUUCCUCCAUCUGUUUCGUCUGGUAUAAAGUCUCCCUUUAUUUCAGAAACUUUAAAUACCAUGUCAUAUUCAGCUGGUAGCACCGACACAAUGCCACAGUUUACGACGAAAUCAUCACCAUAUAUAUCAUCGUGGUUUUCGUCGUACAUGUCCUCGUCAAAUACCUCGUCAGACUGAGGGGAAUAUUCAGGCCCCCCCUUCUCUGGUUGGGGAGAAUACUCUGGUUCCUCCUCCUUCGAAUUGCCCUCGCUUCGUGGCUGUCUCUCGAUCUCUGACGAACAUUCCACAUUCUGAGUAGCUAUCACUGCCUCUUUUCCCGUCCAGUCGACGGUCAUGGCCACUGUCUGAUUGGCCAUCAUUUUUCCUGGUCCUUUUGCCUUUGACAUCUGUUCCUUUUGUUCAGUGGUCUUUGAAGUCUUCGACUGUGGAGUGGUAAUGACUUUCCGAGCUUUUUUGUUUUGCUGGUGGCGUCUCCACUGUGUCAUCGUCAUUUUAUUCUUUCCCUUGUAGUUAGGGGAGAUUGUGUAGCAUCUUUUCUUCUCUGGAGAUGUUGUCUCUUUCUCCAACACCCUCAAUUUGGCUUUUUGCCCCCUUUCUGAUUGACAGAUUCUAUCCAUUUCUCCUGUGGAACAUCAGUUGGAGGAAUGAAAGUCUUUGGUCGGGAACGCUUAAAUUGUCUUCUAUAAUCCUCGUUCCGUCGAGGUGCUCUAUGAAUGUCAAUCACAGAUCAUGGGACAUCAGGCUUUUCCUCUUUAACAACCUUGUUGUCGGCCUCUAGUCUUUCGACGGUUUUCUCGUCGAACACCGCGCUGCACUUUGGGCACAUCACAUCUUUUGACCCAUUUCCCUUGCACUUCUCCUGGAAGUAUGACAAGCUUUUUCCAGGCUAGGGACAGGGCGACUCGGGCCUCCUUUCGUCUUUGUUUCCGAAACACUCAGUAGUUUCGACCAUCAUCAUUUCAAAUGAUUCAACUAACGAGGUUGCUUUGGAAACCUCAAUGAGAACAUUAGUAGUCUCUACCAUUUUGCACUCUAGAGGCUCUGCAUACAAAUCUUCUUCCACCUUCAGAGGUUCAAAAUCCACCUGCAUUUUUGGCCUUUCGACAAACUGGAGCCUUCCUUCUUUCAGAGAUUUCUGCACCAAAUCCCUAAAAAGAACACAUUGGUGAGUUUUGUGACCAAGGAAAUUAUGAAAUUUAUAAAAUCCACCUUUCUUCUUUUGUUCUAGGGGAGGGUCUUUUAAACCCUGAGGGAUGAUAAUCUGACCAUCUUUUACUAAUAGAUCAAAGAUUCCGUCGCACUUAGACACAUCGAACGUAUAUGUCUUAGCUAUGUAUUUGUCUGUUCUCUCUCGUUCGACAAGGUUUUUUCCAUCCGAUGGCUUCAAAACCUUACACGCAUAUGGAGGUCCGGGCUUAAGUUUUGCCACAUUAACCUCACUCCUGUCGACUGUAUCUUCGUCAUCGGAAGAGACUCCUUCGACUAUGAUAUAGGACACUUUUUCCUUCUUAUGAUAUCGACCCGCCUUUGACUUCUCAUCUUUCAAGCAUUCGAUACGUCAAACCCUAUCAGCCAAUUGGGCCAUAUCCCUAAGAUAUUGAGUAUCCAUCCUUUUCCUUAUAGAAUAAUCUAGAUCCCCUGUCGCCAUCUCGAUUAGUUCGUGUUCAGGGACUUGAGUAAAGCACCAUGCCUUCAGUAGUCUAAACCUGUUCAGGUACUGAUCAAUUGAUUUAGUAACCUUUCGCUUAAUGUUAGCAAGUUCUUUGAGGUUGAUCUUUGAUUGUCCCAUGUAGAAUUGUUCAUGGAACAACCUCUCCAACUGUGUUCAUGUUUGGAUCGACUUUGGAGGAAGCAUCGUGAACCAUAUGAACGCGUUUUUUGUCAAAGAACUUGGGAAGUAUUUUAACUUCAAAUCUUCAUUUUUCGAUAUGUCUCCAGCCUCGGUCUGGUACCUGGCCACGUGCUCGACGGUGGAUUCUUCAGUAUCCCUAGCGAACUUAGUAAAUUAGGGACUUUCCAUCCCCUUGGCAAUUCUGUCUGUAAGACAAAAUCUGGUAGAGGAGAGGAGUACGUCGGCCGUUGGAUGCAAAGACUUGCUCCAUUUCACAGUAUGAUCCAUUCGAAGAUAGCCUCUAGGUUUUGUUCCCCUAUGGCUGCAUCGUGUCGAACUUGUCGAACCACCUGGUCUGGAUCCUGGUUACGGUUAACCAGUAUCACGGGGGCCUUUGUGCCACCCUUCGGAUGUGUUCGAAUUCCUGAUAUUCCUGUUCGACAGUGUCAUCUAUCAUCUUUUCUUGUCGAACUGGUGUUUCUGGUCGAGGAGGAGGUGUGGGAUUUCGACAAACUUAAGCCCUUGGAGCUCCCCAAAAAAUAUCCAAUCCUUAUCAUUUGGGUCUCCAACUAGUGGCAACUCUGCGUCGAAUCCUGGAUCAAUGGUCUCAAAAUAGUACCCAUUUGUUGAGUUAGCAUAUGUACCAUUUCAUGGUUGCUUUCGUCCAUCUGUUGUCUCAUAACGACAUCAGAGCUUGACGUAAAAGUUGGGACUGAUUGAGACGUCAAUCCGAAACCUGGGGGUCGACCAAAUGGGGUUGCCAAAUGUCCUAACCCCUAGUAAAAAGAGAAUGGCGAUGACGAGGUAUCAUUUUAAGUCGAACUGAGGUUAUGCAUAUUUGCCAUAAACUCCGUCGGCAUUCCCAACGUUCUGUUCAUGGUGCCCCUAUUUAAGGACAUUCUAACUGAGGAGGCGAAGGUUAAAAUCUUCAUGUCGACUCAGUAGAAUGGGCUUAAAUAAAAACAUAUAGAAACAAACUUUGGUCCCUAAGAGACCUCAUGAUGCAUAUGAUAUGAAUGUAAAAGUUAAUGCUCUAUGGGGAAAUAUUGCCACAAAGGAAAAAGAAGUCGGAGAGACCGAAAGUCCGCAGGAGUAAAAUGCAUUCCGUAAGGAAAACUCACUGGGGAGACCGAGACUCUGAGGGGAAAAAGAGGUUACACGUAGGCCAGGCUACGACUUAAAACUGCUGGGGGACUCGAGGGACUCCAUACAAACAUGGAAAAGACUUAGCCGAGGAACUACAACAUCUACAGGGGAUACGAGUAAGUCAGGAUAAAACUGAAGUACUUAAAUCAUGCAGGGAAAAUGAUUUCACUAAGGAAAUGCGCAUUCAAUUCAACUGGGGAGAAAUAAACUUCAACACAGGAGGAACAGAAAUCUAUUAUCUACUACCUGUUACUGGGUAAGGAGAUAAUAAAGAUCUGACAGAGAGGAUGCCCGUCAUCGGUUAGGAUGAAUAUAUCAAGGAUAGACUCAAGCAGGGGAGAGAAAGAUAUAUGUAACCGGUUAGGGUGAACAUAUCAAGGAUGUACUUCCUGGGGAAUCAGAUCCACUGGGGACUCCACUGCUGGGAAAGCUGGGGUACUUUUGCCGGGUAUUGGGCAAGAAGUAACAAACUGCAAACUAAGAAGAAUAUUACCAGUUACUGGGAAAUAGACUCUUAGGGGACUCAAAGCAUCUAUCUAGGUAAGAGCUGAAAGAAACGGUCAAUCAAGACUCAACCCAUUGAUGACAUAACCCAAGGGGAGUGAUUCCAUCCAGAUAAUUAACUGGGGAGGAAACUGAAAUAAUAAUCAUCCACGAGGAAACAAACUCAGUGGGGGAAAGGAGAAAGGUUAAAGUCUUUCUGCUUAAGGGGCUGACACUCUACAAUUGAAGGAGGACAGACACCAGAUUUUGUAUGGGGAUAGAGUACCGCCAUAACAAAGAAUAAUCUAAAACUCAGUGGGGGAAAGGAGAAAGGUUAAAGUCUUUCUGCUUAAGGGGCUGACACUCUACAAUUGAAGGAGGACAGACACCAGAUUUUGUAUGGGGAUAGAGUACCGCCAUAACAAAGAAUAAUCUUGAAUGAAUCAAUCAAAUAUGAUAAUGAAAAUCAUGAAAUUAUAUGAAUGUGUAUGUAUAUGUAUAUAUGAUGAUUAUGCUGACAACACGAUCACAAAGGAUACCGAGGCGUCGCAAAGAAUUUGAAUCAUCGGUACAAUCCUCGGUUAAUCCAUAAGAUAUGGAGAGAACUGCUGGAGAACAGAGAGAUCAUUAAUCCGAAAAGGCUCAACCCUAACUGGGGAAGAAGCAGAUCUGCUGAGGAAAGAAACCUCAAAUUUGUCGGGAAUUUUAGGUAAACACCAUAAAAAUGAGAGAUAACCCUACAGGGAAUGAUCACAAAAAAAAAGUUGCUCAGAAACCAGGAGGAAACUCUGACUAGGAGCAAGUCGGACGGCGAUUGGCGGGGAAGCCAAUGCGAUCUACUAGGGAAAUCAACCAUAUCUGCUGACGAUCAACCCUGCUGAGGAAACACAAACUCCGUUGGCGAAGGCAGAAACUCUGUCGGGGAAAAUAACACACCGUAGGGUAUCUGAAUCAACCAACUCAGCUGCAGAAAAAGAACGAAGCUUUUACUGGAGAGAACAAACAUUCCGCCGAGGAACUGAAUCAACACAAACGUCCAGGGAUACCCAAAGGGUUAAUUGCUUGGGGAACCUCUGAUGUUUCUCACUGAAGGACUUGCUAUCUCUUAAAAUGUUGUUGAUAUUCCUUUUAAUUGCUUUGAAAAAUUAUUGCUUUUAUAUAUUUUUAUGAAAAAGAGAUUUUAAUUAAAAAAUUUAAAUUUUCAAAAUGAUCAUAAUAAAAUUUAAAACUAUUGGCUGAAGUAAAUAAGAGUAGAAACAAUUGGACAAAAGCUCAACUUUAUUGGAUGGAAUAGUUGAGCUUUCGGGUUUUCAAUCCACCGAGACGCUCUUUUUUCCUAAGCCGCCCUUUCGGGUUUUCAACUUAGCGAGUUGUUCUGUUUUUAGGCGAAGUAUUUCUUGACUGCAUCUGCGUUCACAGGACGAGUGAACUCUUCACCAUCCAUAGUUGUAAGUAUCAAUGCACCGCCUGAAAAGGCUCUCUUAACAACAUAUGGGCUUUCAUAAUUAGGAGUCCAUUUUCCUCUAGAAUCUUGUUUGAAGGAUAAAAUCUUCUCGAGCACAAGGUCACCUUCUUUGAACACAUGAGGUUUGACCUUCUUAUCAAAAGCUUUCUUCAUCCUUUGCUGAUACAACUGACCAUGACACAUGGCAGUUAAUCUCUUCUCUUCAAUCAAAUUCAACUGCUCAAACCUGGUCUAACACCAUUCAACCUCAGUCAACUUGGCUUCCAUAAGCACACGCAAUGAAGGAAUCUCAACCUCUACGGGGAGCACUGCUUCCAUACCAUACACAAGAGAGAAAGGGGUUGCCCCUGUUGAAGUGCGAAUGGAUGUACGAUACCCAUGUAAAGAAAAUGGGAGCAUCUCAUGCCAAUCCUUAUAUGUGACAACCAUCUUCGGAAUAAUCUUCUUGACGUUCUUGUUCGCGGCUUCAAUAGCCCCAUUCAUCUUAGGUCUGUAGGAGAAGAGUUAUGAUGUGCAAUCUUGAAGUCUUUGCAAAGAACUUCCACCAUAUUGUUAUUCAAGUUCGAUCCAUUGUAAGUAAUGAUCUUACUUGGCACACCAUAACGACAUAUAAUUUGAUUCUUGAUAAACCUUACAACAACUUGCUUGGUUACAUUUGCAUACGACGCCGCUUCAACCCAUUUGGUGAAGUAGUCAAUUGCCACCAAAAUGAAACGAUGUCCAUUCGAAGCUUUGGGCUCAAUCAUCCCAAUCAUAUCAAUUUCCCACAUGGAGAAGGGCCAUGGGGACAAGGUAACAUUCAAUAGUGUCGGAGGAACAUGAAUCUUAUCAGCAUAAAUUUUACACUUGUGGCAUUUCUUCACAAAUUUGCAAUAGUCAGAUUCCAUUGUCAACCAAUAGUAAUCUGCUCUCAACAUCUUCUUCGCCAUUGCAUGUCCAUUGGAAUGAGUACCAAAGGAACCUUCAUGCAGUUCAGUCAUCGACAAGUUUGCUUCGUGUCUAUCCAUACAUCUGAGCAAAACCAUGUCGAAGUUUCUCUUGUAUAGUAUAUCACCAUUCAAGUAGAAAUUGCCGGCUAAUCUUCUCAAAGUCUUCUUAUCUUUCAAAGAUGCAUAAGACGGGUAAAUAUGACUUUGGAGGAAACAUUUGAUAUCGUAAUACCACGACUUCUCGUCUUUGAUCUCUUCAACAACAAUCAUUGACGCCAAUGUUGUAGGAGCAUCUGCCAUCCGGUUUUCAUCUCGAGGGAUAUGAUGAAACUCAACCUUUGUAAAGAAAGUUGAAAUCCUCCUCGCAUAAUCUCUAUAUGGUAUUAAACCGGGUUGAUUUGUCUCCCAUUCUCCUUUGACUUGAUUCACAACCAAAGCCGAAUCACCGAAGACAUCCAAAUACUUGAUUCUGAGAUUCAUGACCUCUUCGAGCCCCAUAAUGCAAGCUUCAUAUUCUGCCAUAUUGUUAGUACACUUGAAAGUCAAUCUAGCUGUAAAUGGUAGAUGCGUGCCUUGAGGAGUAAUAAUCACUGCCCCAAUGCCAUUUCCAUAUUGGUUAACAGCUCCAUCAAAUACAAUGCCCCAACGGGAUACAGGUUCUGGCCCUUCUUCAAGCAAUGGUUCAUCACAAUAUUUCAUUUUUAAGUACAAAAUCUCUUUAUCAGGGAAAUCAUAUUGCCAUGUCUGGUAAUCUUCAAUUGGUUGGUGAGCGAAAUGGUCAGCCAAGAUACUACCUUUGAUUGCUUUCUAAGAUCGGUAUUCGAUAUCAUACUCUGAUAACAACAUCUGCCAACGGGCAAUUCUCCCAGUUAAAGCAGGCUUCUCAAAUAUAUACUUGAUUGGAUCCAUUUUGGAUAUUAACCGAGUGGUAUGAUUUAACAUAUACUGGCGCAGACGCUUAGCAGCCCAAGCCAAUGCGCAACAAUUUUUCUCAAGCAUACAAUACCGAGUCUCACAGUCGGUGAACUUCUUACUGAGGUAGUAAAUUGAAAAUUCUUUCUUUCCAUUCUCAUCUUGCUAACCAAGAACACAACCCAUACUUUCAUCAAGCACAGUCAAAUACAUGAUCAAUGGUCUUCCUUCAACAGGUGGAGACAAAAUCGAAGGUUCAAGCAAAUAUUCCUUGAUACUGUCAAAAGCUUUUUGUCAGUCUUCGGUCCAAUCACAAGACUGAUCUUUCUGAAGAAGCUUGACUAUAGGCGCACAUGUGGCAGUCAUAUGGGAAAUGAAUCUGGAGAUAUAAUUCAAGCCCCCGAGAAAACCUUUGACUUGCUUCUCAGUUUUGGGCGCAGGCAUCUCUUGUAUUGCUUUGACCUUGGCAGGAUCAACUUCAAUACCCUUCUCGUUGACAAUAAAGCCCAACAACUUACCAGAACGAACACCAAAAGUACACUUAUUGGGAUUAAAGCGAAGUUUAUAUUUCCUCAAACGCUGGAAUAGCCUCAACAAAUGCUCAACAUGUUCAUCUUCAUUAAUUGAUUUAGCAAUCAUGCCAUCAACAUAAACUUCAAUCUCUUUAUGCAUCAUAUCAUGAAAAAGAGUAGUCAUUGCUCUUUGGUAAGUUGCACCAGCAUUCUUUAAACCGAAAGGCAUCACUCUAUAACUCUUACAAGGGGUUCCUGUAAUGAAUGUGGUCUUCUCCAUAUCUUCGGGUGCCAUCUUGAUCUGAUUAUAUCCAGAAAAUCCAUCCAUAAACGAAAAGACUUUGAAUUUAGCAGUAUUGUCUACCAAUAUAUUAAUGUGUGGCAGAGGGAAAUCAUCUUUCGGACUAGCUUUAUUCAAAUCUCUAUAAUCAACACACAUGCGUACUUUUCCAUCUUUCUUCGGCACUGGCAAAAUAUUGGCCACCCAUUGCGGAUACUCAGCGGUCACAAGGAAACCGACAUCAAUCUGCUUCUGCACUUCCUCUUUGAUCUUCACAACCAUAUCAGGACGCGUUCUUCUCAACUCCUCCUUGACUGGCGUGCAUUCUGGCUUCAACGGCAAUCUAUGCUCCACAAUAUCAGAAUCCAACCCAAGCAUGUCUUGAUAGGACCAAGCAAACACAUCUGAAUACUCUCGAAGAAGAUCAAACAACCCCUUCUUAGCAUCUGGACACAGGCGAGACCCAAUCUUGACUUCCUUCACAUCAUCUUCAGAACCCAAGUUGACUAGUUCAAUCUGCUCUUCAAACGGAUUAAUGGUCUUUUCAUCUUGCUCAAGAAGGCGAGAUAAUUCAUCACUCACUUCUACAUCACUUUCCUCCUCGGCCUCAAACACAGGGAAUUCAAAAUUUGGAGAAGAAGAAGGAUCAUUGUAUUUAAUUGGGUUAGGAACCAACCUGCAUAAUGAUUUGAUAUUUUGAUUUUAGAGAAGUGAAUAUUGUGACCAAAUAUUAUGCAGAUGGACAAUUAUAUUGUUUAUUUAUGUUUUUUGUGAUUACCAUUUUCAGAAUAAAGCAACAAGUAAAAACAAACAUCAUAGAUGUGGAUGAAUAAAAUUAAUUUUAUUAAUGAUCAAUUGAAAAUGCCCAAACAAGUCCACUUCUCCCUUAGGCAUAGGAGACGGAUUUAAAAACAUAUAAAAGUAUUUACUUAGAUUGAUGGAAAAUAACAGGAAUAUCAAUAGGAGUCUAAUUGUUGCACGUCUUUCCAUGCGUCACAAAAUUGGUGCAGUCUUCCUCUUCGUCAUCCUCUAGCACAACAGCUAAGUGUUGUUCAUUGCCAUGAAUGAACCCUCCACUACGGAAGCUGAGUUGUAUAUCUUCAGAUCUUGCAAUUGAUGAGCCUUUCUGGAACCCCAAACCGGUUAUGCCCUUGUUGUCGGAGACCUCUAUCAUGCGCCCCCACUGAUCAAUAGUUCCUUCUUCAACAA
This 12602-nucleotide long non-coding RNA is filed under the name Lathyrus oleraceus (garden pea). RNAcentral's name for it is "Pisum sativum (pea) long non-coding RNA (PSAT_LNC038390)". Lineage: Eukaryota; Viridiplantae; Streptophyta; Magnoliopsida; Fabales; Fabaceae. The record is from RNAcentral.